CCUACGGGAGGCAGCAGUGAGGAAUAUUGGUCAAUGGUCGGGAGACUGAACCAGCCAAGCCGCGUGAGGGAGGAAGGUACAGAGUAUUGUAAACCUCUUUUGUAAGGGAACAAAGACUGGGACGCGUCCCCGGAUGAGUGUACCUGAAGAAAAAGCAUCGGCUAACUCCGUGCCAGCAGCCGCGGUAAUACGGCGGGGGCAAGCGUUAUCCGGAAUUACUGGGUGUAAAGGGCGCGUAGACGGCUGUGCAAGUCUGGCGUGAAAGGCGGGGGCCCAACCCCCGGACUGCUCUGGAAACGGUAUGGCUGGAGUGCAGGAGAGGUAAGCGGAAUGCGUAGUGUAGCGGUGAAAUGCGUAGAUAUUAGGAGGAACACCAGUGGCGAAGGCGGCUUACUGGACUGUAACUGACGUUGAGGCUCGAAAGCGUGGGGAGCAAACAGGAUUAGAUACCCCAGUAGUC
This 460-nucleotide ribosomal RNA is filed under the name uncultured bacterium. Its description in RNAcentral is "partial 16S ribosomal RNA". It matches the Rfam family "Bacterial small subunit ribosomal RNA", at positions 338 to 795 of the family's 1533-position model. The record is from RNAcentral.